GUCGGGAGUUAGGAAAUGCAGGUUGGUUAAUACCCAACCUGUUUGACAAAGGCCCCAAAGGAAGCCACGGCUAACUCUGUGCCAGCAGCCGCGGUAAUACAGAGGUGGCAAGCGUUGUUCGGUAUUAUUGGGCGUAAAGAGCACGUAGGUGGUUUUGUAAGUCAGAUGUGAAAGCCUUCUGUUCAAAGGAAGAACGGCAUCUGAAACUGCAGAUCUUGAGUGCAGGAGGGGAGAGUGGAACUUCUGGU
RNAcentral lists this ribosomal RNA (248 nucleotides) under uncultured Planctomycetales bacterium. RNAcentral describes it as "partial 16S ribosomal RNA". It matches the Rfam family "Bacterial small subunit ribosomal RNA", at positions 434 to 674 of the family's 1533-position model. Lineage: Bacteria; Pseudomonadati; Planctomycetota; Planctomycetia; Planctomycetales. The record is from RNAcentral.